UUGGAGAGUUUGAUCCUGGCUCAGGACGAACGCUGGCGGCGCGCCUAAUGCAUGCAAGUCGAGCGACGCAUAUCGGAUGGGUAACCAACUGGUAUGACGGAGCGGCGAACGGGUGAGUAACACGUGAGCAACCUGCCCCAAAGACUGGGAUAGCCCGGGGAAACCCGGAUUAAUACCGGAUACCCUCGCAGGGUCGCAUGACCCAGCGAGGAAACGGUCCGCUACUUUGGGAGGGGCUCGCGGCCUAUCAGCUUGUUGGUGAGGUAACGGCCCACCAAGGCAACGACGGGUAGCUGGUCUGAGAGGACGAUCAGCCACACUGGGACUGAGACACGGCCCAGACUCCUACGGGAGGCAGCAGCAGGGAAUCUUGUCCAAUGGGCGAAAGCCUGAGACAGCGACGCCGCGUGAGGGAUGAAGGCCUUCGGGUUGUAAACCUCUUUCAGGAGGGACGAAUAAUGACGGUACCUCCAGAAGAAGCCCCGGCUAACUACGUGCCAGCAGCCGCGGUAAUACGUAGGGGGCGAGCGUUGUCCGGAUUUAUUGGGCGUAAAGG
This 556-nucleotide ribosomal RNA is filed under the name Actinomycetota bacterium. RNAcentral describes it as "bacterial SSU rRNA". It matches the Rfam family "Bacterial small subunit ribosomal RNA", at positions 1 to 566 of the family's 1533-position model. The record is from RNAcentral. Lineage: Bacteria; Bacillati; Actinomycetota.